RNAcentral lists this ribosomal RNA (1953 nucleotides) under Triticum aestivum (bread wheat). Its description in RNAcentral is "partial small subunit ribosomal RNA". The record is from RNAcentral. Lineage: Eukaryota; Viridiplantae; Streptophyta; Magnoliopsida; Poales; Poaceae.
AUGGAUUCACCAGUCGCAGCCGCGGUCCAUUUCGGCGUCUGGGGGAGUCAACCGCUCGGGUCGUCCACCCACGCCUCCGCCUCCGCCUCCACCUCCACAUCCACCUCCACUCGCGCACUGGCGGCGGCGGCGGUUGCGCAGGCUGACUGCUUCCUUCGGAAGGAAUCCUUCCCCAGCCAAUGGAUUGCUGCUACUAUUAUUAAUCUGUGCAUAUUUUCUAGCUGGGCAACUUCUCAUAAGGAAGUCAAUUGGUACUACAGUGACAAUAAAGGAAAGAUGGGGCUGAUCGGCAUCAUUAUGACUUUGACAUUUCUGCUCUCGUUUGCAGCGUCUGAUCGCCAAGGUGAUGCAUUAUAUGAUAUGAAGCUGAAGCUGAACGCUACUGGCACACAGCUUACAGACUGGAAUCAAAAUCAAGUUAACCCUUGCACUUGGAAUUCUGUUAUUUGUGACAGUAACAAUAAUGUUGUGCAAGUAACAUUGGCUUCUAUGGGGUUCACUGGAGUUCUGUCGCCAAGAAUUGGAGACCUCGAGCAUUUGAAUGUUCUGUCCUUACCUGGUAACAAGAUUACCGGUACCAUACCAGAGCAGCUUGGGAACCUAUCUAGUUUGACAAGCUUAGAUUUGGAAGAAAAUCUGCUGGUUGGAGAAAUCCCAGCUUCUCUUGGCCAUCUUUCGAAGCUCCAACUCUUGAUACUAAGUCAAAACAGACUAAGUGGAACUGUUCCUGAUACACUGGCAACCAUCUCAAGCUUGACAGACAUUCGGUUGGCCUACAAUAAUCUCUCCGGUCCAAUACCUGCUCAACUAUUUCAAGUUGCACGUUACAACUUUUCUGGCAAUAACUUGACUUGUGGAGCAAACUUCGCUCAUCCUUGUGCAUCAAGUUCGCCUUACCAAGGUGAGGAUGACCGAAGAAUUGCAUUUGGGCAGUUGAAAAGGUUUGCAUGGCGAGAAUUACAACUCGCUACUGAUAACUUCAGUGAGAAAAAUGUUCUUGGACAAGGGGGCUUUGGAAAAGUAUAUAAAGGAGCACUUCCAGAUGGCACUAAGAUAGCCGUAAAGCGGUUAACUGAUUAUGAAAGUCCUGGUGGGGAGGCUGCCUUCCUGCGUGAAGUUGAGCUGAUUAGUGUUGCAGUUCACCGGAAUCUUUUAAGAUUGAUUGGGUUCUGUACAACACAAACAGAACGUCUACUUGUUUAUCCUUUCAUGCAGAAUCUUAGCGUAGCCUACCGUUUGCGAGAAUUUAAACCUGGGGAACCAAUAUUAGAUUGGAAUGCAAGGAAACGAGUGGCUAUAGGCACAGCGCGCGGACUGGAGUACCUGCACGAGCACUGCAAUCCUAAGAUCAUACACCGUGAUGUCAAGGCCGCGAAUGUCUUGCUUGAUGAAGGUUUCGAACCAGUUGUCGGCGACUUUGGCUUGGCAAAGUUGGUGGAUGUACAGAAGACAUCUGUGACCACUCAAGUCCGAGGGACUAUGGGUCACAUUGCACCAGAAUAUCUGUCCACAGGGAAGUCAUCUGAGAGAACUGAUGUUUUCGGCUAUGGUAUAAUGCUUCUUGAAGUGGUCACCGGGCAGCGUGCCAUUGACUUUUCACGUCUGGAGGAAGAAGAUGACGUGUUGUUACUUGAUCAUGUGAAGAAGCUGCAAAGAGAGGGGAAUCUAGACGCCAUCGUGGACCGAAAUCUGAACAACAGCUUCGACAGGCAGGAGGUGGAGAUGAUGAUGCAGAUCGCGCUGCUGUGCACCCAGGGGUCGCCUGAGGACCGGCCCUCCAUGUCGGAGGUGGUAAGGAUGCUGGAAGGGGAAGGCCUGGCGGAGCGGUGGGAGGAGUGGCAGCAGGUGGAGGUGACGAGGAGGGAGGACUACGAGCGGAUGCAGCAGCGGUUCGACUGGGGCGAGGACUCCAUCUACAACCAGGACGCCAUCGAACUGUCCGCCGGCAGAUAA